RNAcentral lists this ribosomal RNA (729 nucleotides) under Levilactobacillus brevis. RNAcentral's name for it is "bacterial SSU rRNA". It matches the Rfam family "Bacterial small subunit ribosomal RNA", at positions 62 to 784 of the family's 1533-position model. Lineage: Bacteria; Bacillati; Bacillota; Bacilli; Lactobacillales; Lactobacillaceae. The record is from RNAcentral.
UUGAACUGAUUUCAACAAUGAAGCGAGUGGCGAACUGGUGAGUAACACGUGGGAAAUCUGCCCAGAAGCAGGGGAUAACACUUGGAAACAGGUGCUAAUACCGUAUAACAACAAAAUCCGCAUGGAUUUUGUUUGAAAGGUGGCUUCGGCUAUCACUUCUGGAUGAUCCCGCGGCGUAUUAGUUAGUUGGUGAGGUAAAGGCCCACCAAGACGAUGAUACGUAGCCGACCUGAGAGGGUAAUCGGCCACAUUGGGACUGAGACACGGCCCAAACUCCUACGGGAGGCAGCAGUAGGGAAUCUUCCACAAUGGACGAAAGUCUGAUGGAGCAAUGCCGCGUGAGUGAAGAAGGGUUUCGGCUCGUAAAACUCUGUUGUUAAAGAAGAACACCUUUGAGAGUAACUGUUCAAGGGUUGACGGUAUUUAACCAGAAAGCCACGGCUAACUACGUGCCAGCAGCCGCGGUAAUACGUAGGUGGCAAGCGUUGUCCGGAUUUAUUGGGCGUAAAGCGAGCGCAGGCGGUUUUUUAAGUCUGAUGUGAAAGCCUUCGGCUUAACCGGAGAAGUGCAUCGGAAACUGGGAGACUUGAGUGCAGAAGAGGACAGUGGAACUCCAUGUGUAGCGGUGGAAUGCGUAGAUAUAUGGAAGAACACCAGUGGCGAAGGCGGCUGUCUAGUCUGUAACUGACGCUGAGGCUCGAAAGCAUGGGUAGCGAACAGGAUUAGAUA